RNAcentral lists this long non-coding RNA (2910 nucleotides) under Homo sapiens (human). RNAcentral's name for it is "non-protein coding ZNF460-AS1:14". The record is from RNAcentral. Lineage: Eukaryota; Metazoa; Chordata; Mammalia; Primates; Hominidae.
AGGGCCAAACCGGCCCACGGAGAUGACGUCACACGAAGAAGCGGAAGUCCCGCCUCCGCCGCCCUGGCCCGCAGAAAACUCUCCUGUCCUGGGUCGUCAAUGGCCCAGAGUCCGCGGCCGACGCAAGGGGCAGUGCCUUCUGGGUAAUGCAGUUUUUCCCUUACAUCUACCGGGUGUGGGAACUCACCCAGCGCAUCCGACUGCACGUAAGUGCGCACCAGAACCCCCGCGUCGUCUUAGGGCCACCGCCUUAGUAUAGGCACAAGUCGGAGGGUCGAAAGGUCCCUUCUAGCUCAGGAAAAUCGAGGUCAGGAGGCGGGGAUAUUCGCCCCGAUUCAGACCCCGAACAAAGGUGCUUACCCUGCUGUGGGCUGGGCCCGCGACUUCUCGCUUGCUUUGCCUCUUUUCUGGAUCUUUUCAUAGAAGAAAAGGAUAAAUGAGCAGUUAAAAUAGCCACCCAAAGGAGGACGCCUGACAGUGUGCCCAGCCUGCUGGGAAAGGACAGACCGCCCUCUAUUGGGCCUCCUUUGGCCGGGCCCAGCCUUCGUAGGAUGCAGGGACUUCCGGGUGAUGUAAUAGGCUUCGCGUUCGCCACGUGUGGACUUCCCGUACCCUGAGGUGGGGAGGCUGCUAGUGGAGCAGGCUUGCCGGGAAGCCCAGUACUCCCAUUUCAAGCAUGAUCAGUUUGAAACGUCAGUAAGACCACAAAGCGUAGUGCCAUAUACUCAACCUAUGAUUCAACAUUGGCAGAGGGUUCGAGCGUGGAUAUAUAAAUUUGGGAGUUAUUACUGUAAACUGUUACUUCAAGUCAUGAUAUUGGGUGAGGCUAUGAAAAGAAUGAGCGUAGAUGGAUAAGUGACGGGAAAGAGGGGAACCCUGGCCCAACCCAGCAUUAACUGGUUGCAGACAGGAGAGUUUAUAAAGUCUUGUUAGGAAUUUUAACAAUCCUAGACUAUGCAAAGAUUAUAUUAUGCGAAGUCUUAGGAGUCCCCAUCAGUAACUUUUUUUUUUUCUUUUCAUGACUAUGAAAGUGAGAGAAUAAAGUCCAGCUUUCAAUGGUUUGACGAUAUAUAUGGUUAAGGAAAUAGAAAGGUGUGCAGAAAGUACUCUCCAAGAGAUUUAAUUUUGAGAUUGAAAAUAGUCAAGGAAUGGAGAUGGAGUCAAUUUCCUACACGAUGCGGUACUUUUGGAGAAAUAUUUUUGGCUAAAUUAGUGUGCAAGGAACACUGUUAUUCAUCACUGGCAAUAGUAAUUUUUGAAAAUUGAUAAAGACAUCAUUCUCUUUUUCACAUAUUUGUGACUCUUAAAUUUUUUUUUUUUUUUUUUUUUUUUGAGAUGGAGUUUCACUCUUGUUGCCCAGGCUGGAGAGCAGUGGCACAGUCUCCACUCACUGCAACCUCCGCCUCCCGGGUUCAAGCGAUUCUCCUGCCUCAGCCUCCUGAGUAGCUGGGAUUACAGGUGUGCGCCACCACGCCUGGCUAAUUUUAUAUUUUUAGUAGAGACAGGGUUCUUCCAUGUUGUUCAGGCUGGUCUCAAACUCCCGACCUCAGGUGAUCCACCCACCUCGGCCUCCCAAAGUGCUAGGAUUACAGACGUGAGCCACCCCCUCUGGCCAGACUCUUAUAAUUAAAUUUAAAUGGUUUUUUCAGAGGCAUAUGAACCAGAGCAACUCUAUCUUAAAUAGGAGCUGGGUAAAAUGAAGCUAAAACCUACUAGGCUGCAUUCCCAGACAGUUAAGGCAUUCUGAGUCACAGGAUGAGAUAGGAGGUCAGCACAAAAUACGGAUCAUAAAGACCUUGCUGAUAAAACAGGUUGCAGUAAAGGAGCUGGCCAAAACCACCAAAACCAAAAUGGUGACAAGAGUGACCUCUGGUCUUCCUCACUGCUACACUCCCAUCAGUGCCACGACAGUUUACAAAUGCCAUGGCAAUGUCAGGGAGUUACCCUAUGUGGUCUGAAAAGGGGAGGCAUGAACAAUCCACCCCUUGUUUAGCAAGUCACUAAGAAAUAACCAUAAACAUGGGCACCCAGCAACCCUUGGGGCUGCUCUGUCUAUGGAGUAGCCAUUCUUUAUUCCUUUACUUUCUUAAUAAACUUGCUUUCACUUGCACUGUGGACUCGCCCUGAAUUAUUUCUUGUGCGAGAUCCAAGAACCCUCUCUUGGGAUAUGGAUUGGGACCCCUUUCCUGUAACACAUUCCUGGCCACUACAGAAGAGACUAUACUGCAGGAACCCGUGACCCAAAGGCUAACUUUGGGUAAGUGGUGGGGUCGGGUAACACUUUUCUCGCAAACCACAAAAGGGACAAUGCUGAGGAGACCCCCCUGACUCAAAGGAAAUAGACUGCAGCACUGAUUGGAUGACUUUGGGUAAGUGGUGGGGUACCCAGGUAAAGAAUGGGAUUGGGAUAGACGCUCAAGUUAGGGGAGUUAGAGUCUCUCCUAAGGCAGAGUGGAUUAGAGGCCCCUCUUAAUAAAAGGCAAGGACGCUUGACUGACCUUGGGUUAGAGGCCCAACUUAGGAGGAUUAGAGUCCCUUCUAAGAUUUAGGGGGUUAGAGACCCCUCUCAGUAAAGUCCCUCUUGGCUAAGAAGAGGUUUGGCACCGUGGGAUGUUAACUGCUAUUGUCUUUGGAUUAAUCUGCCUUGCACUCUUUGCUGAUGGCUCCGGGCGACAGGGUUAGGCGUGUACAGGAUCGUGGGACAUGGGGAGCUUUUUCCUCCCCCAAAAGGGGAAACUUGAGAGCUGACGGGACUGCUGGAAAAAAAUCCCUUCACGACAGCAGCCGUAGCCGCCUGAACUUUUCAGUGUCACUGCAAUGGGUGGGUCUUUCUCUGGCCUCCCUGAUCAUUUUGCCUUCCCUGGGAAAGUAUUGCUUGUGGAAAAUAUUUCCUGGGAAAGUAUUGCCUGC